ACCCUUAUCUCCCUUCGCUGACUCUCUUUUCGGACUCAGCCCACCUGCACCCAGGUGAAAUAAACAGCUUUACUGCUCUCACACAAAGCCUGUUUGGUGGUCUCUUCACACGGACGCGCAUGAAAUUUGGUGCCAUGACUCGGAUCGGGGGACCUCCCUUGGGAGAUCAAUCCCCUGUCUUCCUGUUCUUUGCUCCGUGAGAAAGAUCCACCUACAACCUCAGGUCCUCAGACCGACCAGCCCAAGGAACAUCUCACCAAUUUUAAAUCAGGAGCUUACUACACGUGCCGGCAAUCUGGCCACUGGGCCAAGGAAUGCCCGCAGCCCGGGAUUCCUCCUAAGCCGCGUCCCAUCUGUGUGGGACCCCACUGGAAAUCGGACUGUUCAACUCACCUGGCAGCCACUCCCAGAGCCCCUGGAACUCUGGCCCAAGGCUCUCUGACUGACUCCUUCCCAGAUCUUCUUGGCUUAGCGGCUGAAGACUGACACUGCCCGAUUGCCUUGGAAGCCCCCUAAACCAUCACGGAUGCCGAGCUUCGGGUAACUCUCACAGUGGAAGACAGAGUCUUGCUCUGUUGCCAGAUUGGAGUGAAGUGGCGCGAUCUCAGCUCACUGCACCCUCUGACUCCCUGAUUCAAGUGAUGCUCCUGCCUCAGACUCCCAAGUAUUUCCUAUAUCUUCCUGUCUUUUCCAUGGCCAAAAAUGAUCAAGUAAAGAACAUUAAAGAAGAAAUAAAUUACUACAUAUUAAAAAAUACAUACUGUAAGAUGUUCUUUGUACAAAAAUGUGACAACUUCAAUAAGAGUAACUUGGACAACCUGAGGCAUUAAUUGAGGAUCAAUAUGAUGACUUUACAUUGAGAAUCACAUAUACCCUCUGAAUAAAUUUAAAAAAUGAAAUUUUUUAAUUUUCAUUAAAAAUUAAAUUUUUUUGAGUGAUGAAAAUACUCAAUCACAUUAUUUUCAAAUUGUUGAUAAGCAUGGAAAUUAUCAGAGAACCAGAAUAUUCAAGGUUUAUCUUUCCUGUUUUUGUCUUAAAUCACAACUAUGUGUUAAAUAAUUUGUAUGACCUAUUUCAGUGGCAGUAGGUUAAAUAAAAUUCUGUUUGUAUCUCCUG
This 1116-nucleotide long non-coding RNA is filed under the name Homo sapiens (human). RNAcentral describes it as "long intergenic non-protein coding RNA 1013". The record is from RNAcentral. Lineage: Eukaryota; Metazoa; Chordata; Mammalia; Primates; Hominidae.